UAGGGAAUAUUGCAAAAUGGGCGAAAGCCCGAUGCAGCAACGCCGCGUGGGCGAUGAAGGCCUUCGGGUCGUAAAGCCCUUUUUGAGGGGGUGAGGAAGGACAGUACCCUCAGAAUAAGCCUCGGCUAACUACGUGCCAGCAGCCGCGGUAAAACGUAGGAGGCGAGCGUUAUCCGGAUUUACUGGGCGUAAAGCGCGUGCAGGCGGAUUGGAGAGUUGGAUGUGAAAGCUCCCGGCUUAACUGGGAGAGGUCGUUCAAUACUUCCAGUCUUGAGUGCAGUAGAGGGAAGGGGAAUUCCAGGUGUAGUGGUGAAAUGCGUAGAUAUCCGGAGGAACACCAGUGGCGAAAGCGGCUUCCUGGACUGUAACUGACGCUCAGACGCGAAAGCUAGGGUAGCAAACG
This 403-nucleotide ribosomal RNA is filed under the name uncultured bacterium. Its description in RNAcentral is "bacterial SSU rRNA". It matches the Rfam family "Bacterial small subunit ribosomal RNA", at positions 355 to 774 of the family's 1533-position model. The record is from RNAcentral.